Molecule: transfer RNA, 70 nt
Filed under: Acheilognathus yamatsutae (Korean striped bitterling)
Lineage: Eukaryota; Metazoa; Chordata; Actinopteri; Cypriniformes; Acheilognathidae
Description: tRNA-Met
Source: RNAcentral
GAUGAAGUCAGCUAAUAAAGCUUUCGGGCCCAUACCCCGAACAUGACGGUUAAACUCCCUCCUCCCAUCA